RNAcentral lists this ribosomal RNA (497 nucleotides) under uncultured bacterium. Its description in RNAcentral is "partial 16S ribosomal RNA". It matches the Rfam family "Bacterial small subunit ribosomal RNA", at positions 28 to 507 of the family's 1533-position model. The record is from RNAcentral.
GAUGAACGCUGGCGGCGUGCCUAAUACAUGCAAGUCGAGCGAACAGACGAGGAGCUUGCUCCUCUGACGUUAGCGGCGGACGGGUGAGUAACACGUGGAUAACCUACCUAUAAGACUGGGAUAACUUCGGGAAACCGGAGCUAAUACCGGAUAAUAUAUUGAACCGCAUGGUUCAAUAGUGAAAGACGGUUUUGCUGUCACUUAUAGAUGGAUCCGCGCCGCAUUAGCUAGUUGGUAAGGUAACGGCUUACCAAGGCAACGAUGCGUAGCCGACCUGAGAGGGUGAUCGGCCACACUGGAACUGAGACACGGUCCAGACUCCUACGGGAGGCAGCAGUAGGGAAUCUUCCGCAAUGGGCGAAAGCCUGACGGAGCAACGCCGCGUGAGUGAUGAAGGUCUUCGGAUCGUAAAACUCUGUUAUUAGGGAAGAACAAAUGUGUAAGUAACUAUGCACGUCUUGACGGUACCUAAUCAGAAAGCCUCGGCUAACUACGUG